Ceratotherium simum simum (southern white rhinoceros) is the source of this 107-nucleotide non-coding RNA. The record is from RefSeq and is a predicted model, not a curated record. NCBI's taxonomy places the organism in Eukaryota, Metazoa, Chordata, Mammalia, Perissodactyla, Rhinocerotidae.
CGAGGUCACACUCAAAAGCAUCAUGCUCAAAAGAGAACUGAAAGUCACUCAACAACAUAUCACUUAUUUUAAUGUGCCUACCUCAAGGGGUUGAGAUUAAACUUGCA